RNAcentral lists this ribosomal RNA (493 nucleotides) under uncultured bacterium. RNAcentral's name for it is "bacterial SSU rRNA". It matches the Rfam family "Bacterial small subunit ribosomal RNA", at positions 28 to 531 of the family's 1533-position model. The record is from RNAcentral.
GAUGAACGCUGGCGGCGUGCCUAAUACAUGCAAGUCGAGCGAACCACUUCGGUGGUGAGCGGCGAACGGGUGAGUAACACGUAGGAAUCUACCUAGUAGUGGGGGAUAGCUCGGGGAAACUCGAAUUAAUACCGCAUACGACCUACGGGUGAAAGGGGGCGCAAGCUCUUGCUAUUAGAUGAGCCUAAAUCAGAUUAGCUAGUUGGUGGGGUAAAGGCCUACCAAGGCGACGAUCUGUAACUGGUCUGAGAGGAUGAUCAGUCACACCGGAACUGAGACACGGUCCGGACUCCUACGGGAGGCAGCAGUGGGGAAUAUUGGACAAUGGGGGCAACCCUGAUCCAGCCAUGCCGCGUGUGUGAAGAAGGCCUUUUGGUUGUAAAGCACUUUAAGCAGGGAGGAGAGGCUAAUGGUUAAUACCCAUUAGAUUAGACGUUACCUGCAGAAUAAGCACCGGCUAACUCUGUGCCAGCAGCCGCGGUAAAUGCGUACU